This 253-nucleotide ribosomal RNA is filed under the name uncultured prokaryote. Its description in RNAcentral is "partial 16S ribosomal RNA". It matches the Rfam family "Bacterial small subunit ribosomal RNA", at positions 525 to 777 of the family's 1533-position model. The record is from RNAcentral.
ACAGAGGUGCCAAGCGUUAGGCGGAAUCACUGGGCUUAAAGCGUGUGUAGGCGGAUCGUUAAGUACCUUGUGAAAUCCCACGGCUCAACCGUGGAACGGCUGGGUAUACUGGCGGUCUUGAGCCACCUAGGGGCGAGCGGAACAAACGGUGGAGCGGUGAAAUGCGUAGAUAUCGUUUGGAACGCCAACGGUGAAAACAGCUCGCUGGGGGUGUGCUGACGCUGAGACACGAAAGCCAGGGGAGCGAACGGGA